AGUGAACGCUGGCGGUAUGCUUAACACAUGCAAGUCGAACGGUAACAGGUCUAGCUUGCUAGAUGCUGACGAGUGGCGGACGGGUGAGUAACGCGUAGGGAUCUGUCUAGGGGUGUGGGACAACUCGGGGAAACUCGAGCUAAUACCACAUACGUUUUAGAUGUAAAAGUUUAAAAGAAAGGCGGGUAGCAAUACCUGUUGCUCUUAGGUGAACCUGCGUUGGAUUAGCUAGUUGGAAGGGUAAUAGCCUAACAAGGCGAUGAUCAGUAGUUGGUCUUGGAGGAUGAUCAGCCACAUUGGGACUGAGACACGGCCCAAACUCCUACGGGAGGCAGCAGUGGGGAAUAUUGGACAAUGGGCGCAAGCCUGAUCCAGCCAUGCCGCGUGAGUGAUGAAGGCCCUAGGGUUGUAAAGCUCUUUUGUCCGGAAGAAAGCAAUCGGUUAAUACCCGGUGUUCUGACGGUACCGGAAGAAUAAGCACCGGCUAACUUCGUGCCAGCAGCCG
This 505-nucleotide ribosomal RNA is filed under the name uncultured bacterium. RNAcentral's name for it is "bacterial SSU rRNA". It matches the Rfam family "Bacterial small subunit ribosomal RNA", at positions 29 to 517 of the family's 1533-position model. The record is from RNAcentral.